This 411-nucleotide ribosomal RNA is filed under the name uncultured bacterium. RNAcentral describes it as "bacterial SSU rRNA". It matches the Rfam family "Bacterial small subunit ribosomal RNA", at positions 505 to 916 of the family's 1533-position model. The record is from RNAcentral.
GUGUCGGCAGCCGCGGUAAUACGUAGGGUGCAAGCGUUAAUCGGAAUUACUGGGCGUAAAGCGUGCGCAGGCGGUUAUGUAAGACAGAGGUGAAAUCCCCGGGCUCAGCCUGGGAACUGCCUUUGUGACUGCAUAGCUAGAGUACGGCAGAGGGGGAUGGAAUUCCGCGUGUAGCAGUGAAAUGCGUAGAUAUGCGGAGGAACACCGAUGGCGAAGGCAAUCCCCUGGGCCUGUACUGACGCUCAUGCACGAAAGCGUGGGGAGCAAACAGGAUUAGAUACCCUGGUAGUCCACGCCCUAAACGAUGUCAACUGGUUGUUGGGAAUUAAUUUUCUCAGUAACGAAGCUAACGCGUGAAGUUGACCGCCUGGGGAGUACGUUCGCAAGAAUGAAACUCAAAGGAAUUGACGG